UACGAAGGGGGCUAGCGUUGCUCGGAAUCACUGGGCGUAAAGGGCGCGUAGGCGGCCGAUCAAGUCAGAGGUGAAAGCCCAGGGCUCAACCCUGGAAUUGCCUUUGAUACUGUUUGGCUAGAGACCGGAAGAGGUUAGUGGAACUGCGAGUGUAGAGGUGAAAUUCGUAGAUAUUCGCAAGAACACCAGUGGCGAAGGCGGCUAAACUGGUCCGGUUCUGGACGCUGAGGCGCGAAAGCGUGGGGAGCAAACAGGG
RNAcentral lists this ribosomal RNA (256 nucleotides) under uncultured bacterium. RNAcentral describes it as "partial 16S ribosomal RNA". It matches the Rfam family "Bacterial small subunit ribosomal RNA", at positions 524 to 777 of the family's 1533-position model. The record is from RNAcentral.